This 266-nucleotide ribosomal RNA is filed under the name uncultured Planctomycetota bacterium. RNAcentral describes it as "uncultured planctomycete partial 16S ribosomal RNA". It matches the Rfam family "Bacterial small subunit ribosomal RNA", at positions 565 to 829 of the family's 1533-position model. Lineage: Bacteria; Pseudomonadati; Planctomycetota. The record is from RNAcentral.
GAGCACGUAGGUGGGUUUGUAAGUCAGAUGUGAAAGCCUUCUGUUCAAAGGAAGAGCGGCAUCUGAAACUGCAGAUCUUGAGUGUAGGAGGGGAGGGUGGAACUUCUGGUGGAGCGGUGAAAUGCGUAGAUACCAGAAGGAACGUCGGCGGCGAAAGCGACUCUCUGGCCUAUUACUGACACUGAGUGUGCGAAAGUUGGGGGAGCAAACGGGAUUAGAUACCCCGGUAGUCCUAACUGUAAACGAUGGGCACUAAGUAGAGGGGU